UGACUCAGACUAGCCUAUCCAGGGUCAUGUCCUCGGUAAGCUGAAGUUGAUCCAUGUCAUAUUUAAUCACCUCCUUUCAAUAUUUCUUCGCUCUAACUCUACCUCGCUUAAAAUCAUUCCUAACCAAUUUCUUACACCUCGACAUUGAGGCAUUCAUGCUCCUCCGCAUCAUAUGACCGAACUAUUUCACCCACGCUUCCCUCAUCUUAUACGUCCUCCACUACUAAAGUUAUCCGGUGUACAUGUUCUUAAAAAGUUAGAAUAUUUACUUAUUAGCUGCGGUCAAAUCCUAAAGUUUGAUUCUUUCAUUUGGGCUAUUUGUUCAAUAUUUAACAACUAGCUACUCACUGGUGACUCAUCGGGGGCAGAUACUUUCAAUAUUUAUGCAUUAUUAUAUCAGUAUCACGUGUAAUACACGCACUUUGUCUAAAAGGUGUCAAAAUAAUAUAUAUUAUGAUUAUUUAUGGUGUCAAAAAUGAGCGACAUCACUUUGUCAAUUCAGUAAAAAAUAUCAAAAUAACACACAUUAUGGCUAUCUGAGGUGUAAAAAAUGAGCGAUCACUUUGCCAAUUUAACAAAAGUUGUCAAAAUAACACAUUAUAGCUACAUGUAAAAAAUGAGUAAUGUCACUUAAGGUGGUGAAAGAUGACACUUACUUAAAGCGUGCUAUAAGUAUUAUAUUUGUCCAAACAUUUAAUAACUACCCUUUCACUCUCAACUCAAUCACCAGCAAAACCCAAAAAUCUAUGGCACAAUUGUUGAGCCUAAGAGUUUCAACCCCAUCAUCACCACCCCGCCACCCCACCACCACCGCAUCUUUAACAAGGCCUGCCGUCCUUACUACAAGAAACAGCUUCACUUAUUUACAACACAAACUCCAAUGCAAUGGCAGAUUUUCUUGCCUCUUCUCUCAUAAUCGUAACAAACAGGUAAUACUACUAAGUUUUAACUUCUUGAAAAUUUUAAAAUUCCUAGUUUUUAUGGUGUUUUUGGGAGAGAGAAAAAGUGGGUGUCUUUUAGAUUAUCAAGAAAAUAUGUUUAAAGAAUGAUUUGAUUUUGCAUAUGCAAAUUCAAUCUGCUGAUUUAUCAUAGUGUUUGUACUUGUCCUUUUUUUCUAAUAAGGAGAUACAAAUAUUUCAUUUUUUUUAGAGUUAAAUGGUGAAAAAACAUGUAAAGUAUCCCUUAGUUUCAUAAUUAGAGUUGAAUAGUGAUAUUUCAGGUAGAAAGCUGAACAAUUGAUAGUUGUUGUGUGUUUUGAUGAAUAAUUGGUGAUAGUAUCAGGAUACUUUUAAGUGUAUCUUUGACCCUACACUGUUUUCUUUUUUUGUCAUCGUGUGUCUGGGCCAGUUUGCACGCACCUCGGCUGAUUCCGGGAGAUACUUUUUACCUUACACCAAUACAAGUACCAGGCAUAUGGAAAGAUAUCACCUGGUGUUUUGCCUCAGCUGGAAUUUGAACCUGAAACCUAAUGGAUCAUGGUUCUUGACCCUACCACUAGAUGUGAUAAAGUUAUCAACUUGGAUGUUGUUUUUUGAUUACUCCGAUAAAGGAACACACGAGCAAAUGUUUAUACUUGUGCAAGUGUGUGAGUGAAGGUGAACAAACUGUUUUCACUAGUUCCUAUCUAGCAAGGGUUGGAUAGAUAGAAAGAUAUCACUUGGUGUCUUGCCUCAACUGGAAUUUGAACCUGAAACCUCAUGGAUCGUGGUUCUUGACCCUACCACUAGAUGUGAUGAAGUUAUCAACUUGGGCAUUGUUUUUUGCUUACUCCAAUAAAGGAACAGACGAGCAAAUGUUUACACUUGUAUGAGUGUGUAAGUGAAGGUGAAAAGGUGGUUUUCACUAGUUCUUUGUGUUAGCAUAGAAAGAGUUGUAUGGCGUGUAAACAAUUUCAUGAGAUUCUGCUUGUGUGCUUAUUCAUAACGACAGUGUCCUGGAGUCCUUAGGUAGAACUUCUAUCACAUUUCAGCGGCAGGAGUAUUGCAUUAUACGGACUCUCCUAUGGCAUGGUAAUUUAACUAUGCCUAUUCUAUCAUCAGUCCGAAACUUAAAAGUAUCCUAGAUAAUACUAUUUAGUUUGAUUUUGCAUACACCACUGGUUAAAUCGAGGACUAGAAGAAAAGAGGGUAUUAAAUAACAAAGGGGUUUUAUGUUUUGCGUUUGUUUUUGGUUUGUUUUUAUUCCUACUGAUUCAUCAGAGAGUUUGUACUUGUGGGUUGUGUUUAGCAAGGAGAUAAGAUGUGAUAAAGCUAUCAAGUUGUGUACCAUGUUUGCUAACUCCAAAAAAGGAACACCGGAGAAAAUGUUUGCACUUGCGUGAGUGAACAAAUUGUUUUCACUAGUUCUUGGUGUGAGCUUGGGCUAGAAAGAGAAUUGUAUGGUGCUAUAUUGCUCGGUCUCUUCAAAAAUGUCAGCGGGUGCGUGUCAGAUUCUCCAAAAGUAGUGUAUUUUUGGAGAAUCCGACACGAAUGCGGCAUCGAAAGUGAAGAGUCCGCACAACUUAGGUAUGGUGUGUAAACAGUUUCAUGAGAUUCUGCUAGAGUGUUUAUUCACAAGAUAGUGUCUAGGAGUCCAUAGGUAGAACCUCUAGCACGCUUCAGGCAUGAGUAUUGCACCCUAUCUAGUGACUCUCUCUCCUACUGCAUACUAAUUUAGUCGUGCCUAUUCCGAAUCCAUAUGAAACUGGGGAAAAGCAGAUUGUUUGAUCGAUUUGAUCUAGCUUUCAUGAAGAUUUCUAUACAUUAGCGUUCUUAGAUACUCAAGUUUAUUUCCAGAGAUUUCACUUGAAAUGUACCAGGCGCUGGGCUUGUGAAUCCCGUCAGUAAAGGAGUGCAACUUAUAUUGUGUGCUUUGCCAUAGGAUUAUAUUUACGAGGUUUCUUCAUCUAUGCUUAACUUUAUAUACUUAAGGGUACCUAUCUCAUUUCUAGGUCAUGCGCGGUUUCAGACUCGGGCAUUAUCUCAUUUGGAUUAUGUACCUCGGUAGUGACUUCUUGACUUAUCAAAUAGAAAAAAAUGACCUUGGUAAUGUUGCAAUAUCUUGGUGAAAACAAGAGCUGCACAGAAGUUUUCUCUAGUUUAACCGUAUUUGGGAACAGGUCGAGGCUUCUAUUAAGGUGGCUCUACGUGAAACAUAUGAAGUGAAAGUUUCCUUUUUUCUAUCAUGCGCCUUCCGAUUUUCUGUCAGGUCAUUUACUUAUCUGUGUUGUGCCCUUUCAUAUAAACAGGACGAGGCUAGAAAAGCUUUAGAAAGUGCUUUGGGAGGAAAGAAAAAUGAGUUCGAGAAAUGGGAUAAAGAAAUUAAACGAAGGGAGGAAGCCGGCGGAGGAGACAAUUCAGGCGGAGGCGGUUGGUUUAAUUGGCGUAGAUGGUUUGGUGGCGACGAUGGCCAUUUUUGGCAGGAAGCUCAACAAGCAACCCUUGCUAUUUUGGGUAUUCUUGUCAUGGUAAGCAAUUGUAUAAGCUUUCUAUAUAGCAGUUGAUCGAUAUGGUUGUUACCUACUUCAACUCGUCUCUCAUUCAUCAUUUGCAUAAGCUUCUACCGCACUAGCCUGUUUUACGUAACAGUUUUUUUUAGUCUCUUCCAAAAAGAACGACACCUUUCUAUAUUUAGUAUUCCACUUCAAACUUCUCACCAUGUAACGUUAUUCCACACUUCCACUUUGCUCUUAUUCAUCGAUACAUCAUGUUUAAAUUUGCAGUACUUGAUAGUUGCAAAAGGAGAUGUUAUACUUGCUGUCAUAUUCAACCCUCUGCUGUUCACUCUACGCGGAGCGAGGAACGGUUUUACCUUUGUAACAUCGAAGAUUACGAGAAAGCUAUAUCCUGCUAGCCAAGACAGCUUUGGUACCAUUUCUCCGGAGGAAGUUCCUUCUCGCGCUUCUGCCAAAGACAGCGUCGCAAGAAAAUGGGGAAGCGAUUAAUCGCUCGUCGCUAGCAAAUAUUUUUCUUCACCUUGUAUUCUAAUGUUGUUAGUGUUUUUGGUUAGCUUGCUUUUCAUUUUGAGAGAUCAUUAGGGAGUUCUUGGCUAUGUAUUAGGUGAAAAUUAUUGUUUCAUAAGCUUCAUGUUGAUUUGAUGUUUAACAUUUGAAAUGGAAAUAUGCAAAGUUUUGUUAUGCAUUGUGCCAUCAUGUUACUAAGGGGCCGUUUGGUUGGGAAACUAGUUAUCCUGGGAUUAACUGUCUCGGGAUUAGUUGUCGAUAAAAAUAACACUACAAUUCCGGGAUAACUAAUCCCUGGAUGAGUUAUCUCAUGCAUCUUAUCCCAACCAAACAUGGAAUAAGUUCAUCCUAAAAUUAAUACCGAAAUUAGUUAUCCCUUAUCCUUCCUACCAAACGACUCCUAAAAGUCAUCAGACGUUUGUAGCAGCAUAAGGAGGAUGGACCCUUUUCGAGGUACACAAUAAGUUCGAUAUAUAGGAGGUUGGUCUUUUCAAAGAGGUGUAUGCAACAUGAAAAACCUUUCGAUAUAAGAUACGACGUUUGUAGCAAGAUAUGGACGGACCCCUUUGGAGGAAUAAGUACGAUAUAUAGCAAGUUGGUCUUUUCAAAGAGGUGUAUGUAACGCAAAAAACCUUUCGAUAAAAGAUAGGACGUUUGUAGUAACAUAAGGACGGACCCCUUUCGAGGUACAAAAUAAGUACGAUACAUAGGAGAUUGGUCUUUUUAAUGAGGUGUAUACAACACGAAAAACCUUUCGAUAUAAGAUAGGACGUUUGUAGCAACAUAAGGACGGACCCCUUUCGAGGUACAAAUAAAUACGGUACAUAGGGGGUUGGUCUUUUUAACGAGAUGUAUAUAGCACGAAAAACCUUUUGAUACAAGAUAGGACAUUUGUAGCAGCAUAAGGAGGACGGACCUCUUUCGAGGUACGAAAUAAGUACGAUACAUAAAAGGUUAGCAUAAGGAGGACGGACCUCUUUCAAGGUACAAAAUAAGUACGAUACAUAGGAGGUUGGUCUUUUUAACGAGGUGUAUACAGCACGAAAAACCUUUUGAUACAAGAUAUGACGUUUGUAGCAGAAUAAGGAGGACGGACCUCUUUCGAGGUACGAAAUAAGUACGAUACAUAGGAGGUUGGUCUUUUUAACGAGAUGUAUGCAGCACGAAAAACCUUUCGAUACAAGAUAUGACGUUUGUAGCAGCAUAAGGAGGACGGACCCCUUUCGAGGUACAAAAUAAGUACGAUACAUAGGAGGUUGGUCUUUUUAACGAGAUAUAUACAACAAGAAGAACCUACAAGAUAGGACUGUUCAUGUAGAAAGUAGUACUUAGUUAAAAAUUGUUUACUAUUAUUAUUAUAUAAAAUUUCAUGUAAUUAUUGUAUUUUUGUAUUCAAUUAAUAAGCAUAAAGCAUGUAACGAACAUUAUUUUACUAGUACAUAUAGAUCAAAGGUAAAACUAAUUAACACGUAAUUAUCAUUACGGAAAAUAGCUAUAAUUUGAAUGGGUUAAUGGUAAUAAUGAUUAUCCCCAUUAACCACAACAUUAUACUAAUUUUAAACUUGUCAUGUCUAUGAUAUUUCUUUGACCACUAACAACAUAUAUAAUCCACCAUCAUUAGCAAUAAUAAAAAAGCAAAAUAAAGUUUCUUGUGUAUGAUGAGACUAUGGAUAAAAUUCUUUCAUUUUUAAUUUAAUCGAAAGUCUUUAUAUUUGAGCUUUGGAUAUAAAAUAAUUUUUUUCGUAAAUAGCAACUUUUCUAUAAUUGGAUUUUAUGUGACACGAAUUAGAUUAUUGAAACUCCAAGGGAUCAUUUGGGUGGUCAAAUGGGCAAAACGGUAAGAGCGGGUCGUUUUCAGCCAAAUCAAUGGGUGUGUUAGCUCACGGUUCUCGGGGUGGGUCCGAAGCUCGGAUGUGUUUUGGGUCGAAAAUCGACCGGCGGUCCCCAGACGGGCUGAGGAGCGGGGAGGGUGGGCCAGUUGGGUCGGCGGGGCCGUUUGGGUGGUCAGACAAGCGAAAUGACAAACGAGCCCUUUUCGGGCCAAAUCGGUGGGUGUUAGCCUACGAUUCUCAGGGUGGGCCCGGAGCCAGGGUGUGUUUUGGGUCGAAAAUCGACCGAUGGCUCCCAGGCAGGAUGAGGAGCGAGAGAGGAUGCACCGACCGGGCCGUUUGCGUGGUCAAACAAAAUUAGUUCUGAAACUGAAUGAAAAACUUAUUAAAAAAAUGAAUUUCUAGACUUUCACCACCAAUCGAAAAAUGUGGUGUAACAAUAAAAUUCCUCUAUCCUUAAUCAAUAGUCUCCAGUCAAGGUCCUUGUUAUAAGUAAAGAUUCAAUAAUGAACGUGUUUCCCUUAAAUGUUUCUUACGUAAUAUAAAUUCGGAUUAAUCGUGAUUUCAAUACAUAUACCGAACAUAAAAAUCCUAAAACAAAAGCUUUCACAAUUAUCAUGAAUCAUAAUUAAUAUUCCUCUAGAACUUUAACUAAUCAUGUUAAUAAUUACAUUUAAAUUGAUGGGAAUAUACCAGAAAAAUCAUGAUAACAUAUUAAAACAUAUCAAAAUAAAUUCUAAGGCCCCAUUAAUUAUUACAAUCAGGUAAAAAACUAAUUAUCGGUAGGAGAUUACAAUAUUUCAUCAAUUUAAUUAAGGUAUAUAAAAAUUAACUCGAACACCACGAUUAUUAUUAAAUGAAAAGCUACUUGUUUUUUCAUCAUAUUUUUCUACGACAUUUAUCCUACCUAGCUAAUGAUUUUUUUUUUUGGGGCAACAACAACGACAUAGUUAAAUAAUAAAUUGCUUCACAAGUUAUUUCACUUGAAAUUAUCCAUUGAAGUGUGUAUGAAUUGAUAUUGUAGAAUAUUAAAGGAGAAAUAUACCACCAAUUAUAGAAAUUUGUCAGUAAAUUUUAUUUAGAUACUACUCAAAUUACGAUUAAUUUAGAUUGAGCUCAUAAACACAUACUAUGCAUCUCAAAAAGUUUCUAUGCAUAUUUCCAAGAAUCCAUUACGUAAAUGAGUUUACUACUUAAAAUAUACACAGACUUUUACGUAGAUUUUAUAUUUAUGUCGUGAAAUUUGUUAAAUAUAUAAAACUAUUUAUUGAAACUAUAUACGGAACGAAAAUAUGUAUGCAAUAUGUCAUGUAACAACAACAACAAUAAUAAUUAAAUGUUUUUUUUAAUUACAAAAAAUGCAGUAAAUAAAUUCAAUAUAAUAAUUAAAUGUUGGUGCAUAUAAAAUCUUUUUUUUUUUAUUUGGUGGAACAUAUAAAAUCUUUAAAACACGUUCAUGGAUAUGUCAGGGUCAAUAAUAAAUUCUCUGAAGUCAUUUAUGUUGAUUCACGUGAAAAUAAUAAAUUACUAUGAUCAUAAAUGUUAAAUCUAAAUUUUUUAACUACAAUCAAUUGAAAGUAGUAACAUUUUUGAGUCAUUAGUCCAUGUCAUUUCAUAUUAAUACACCUUUCUAUUUGUUCAAAACUGAAAUUCAUUACCCAAAAAAAAAUUAAAAAGAAAAACUUUAUUUUGCAUUUUAAAAAUGUUAUUUCUCCUUCCAUAACAAUUUAAAUCAAACUACCAAUAUUGCUGUUGAUGAAUAGUGCUUUUAUUAAUCAUGGAUGAAUUUUAGAAAAUUUAAGAAAUAAAAACAACUAAAUAAAUAAAUAAAUAAAUUAUAAACCAUCUACUAAUACAAACGUGACUUUAUGUAUUAUUGCCCUAUUAACAACUUACUUGAAUUUUUUUUUGUUUUUCAAAAAAACAAGAACAAGAAGAAAGAUUUCACCCCCUUUUUUUUUUUUUUUUUGUUGUUGAUAGAGCUAAUUAUUUGUAAUAUUUGCAAAUUCAUAGUAAUACCUAAGUCAAAUAUAACUCUAUCAUUUUAUAUAAUUAAGAUUACUUACCAUGAAUAACCAAAGGUUUGAGAUUCGAUCUUUGAAUAUGAAAAAAAAAUCCAGAGGAAAAUAUUUUUCUCUUUCAUAGACAAGCUACAUUAAUCUAGAUUAUUAGUCAACAUCUCAAUGCGCAUACCGAUAACCGAUCUAAGGAUGAAAAAUCAACAAAAUGGCUCGGGUACGCGAAGGACUACCAGUUUCUUGUGAUAAAAUGAAUAAGAUUCCUCUCUCUAUCAUUAACCAAAUAUUCACGUUCGUUCUAGAAAAUGGAAAAAGAAAUAUCUUAGCAAGAGUUUGACACGAUUUAGAUUAGUCAUAAAUCUAAUGUGCGUAUCGAAAACUAAGUGAAAAACUUAUACAGAGAAUUUGGGUAUAAAAAGACUACCAAGGUUAUAGUCGUAUGAUACGAUUAAUUUAUCCAUCCUUAACGAAAGAUCUCGUAUUUAACUCCGAAUAUAAAUUAUUUAAUUAAUAUUCUCAAAAAAAUAAAUUAUUUAAUUAAUUUAUAGAAGAGAAUAAUUGUCCAUUGAGAAUCUCUCUCUUCCACCCUAUCCUAAGCUGUCUUCUAAGUCAUGGCCUUCAUGAUCUCUCCACCAAUCUUCAUCUCUUAUAUAUAUAUAUAUAUAUUAUACAAUCGUCUGGUAUACAAAAUAAAUUAUCUCGAUAUUUAUAAAAAUUUUAAACUAAUUUAUUUCACGUUCUAGAUAAAGUAACUUUAAGUUUGAGUCAGCCUUUUACUAGGAGUUCGUUCGAAUCUCUUUCGGCAGAAAAUUUACAGAUAUAUUUUAGAUAUUGAAUUUCCUUUAACUAGUUUUUCUUUAAAUUUUGAACUCCCUCGAUGAAAAUUCUGACUCUGCCUCUGGUUUGAGGGGAUAAUGUUGAGACAUUUGAUUAAAUUUGUGCUUAGAUUUAUAUCGUAUUCGAUUAAAUGAUAAAUUUAUGCUUAUAAUCUAUGUUGCUCGAACUCUUCAAAAAUGUUAAUGACUGUGACACUGCGUGUUGGAUCUUAUUUGUUAUUGACACAUCUUAUUCGUUCGAGCAACUUAGACUAUAAAUCUUAUUUCAAAGAUCAAAUUUAAUUAUGGCAUAUCUCACCUUGUCGCGCGUACCAAAACAACUUCAUUAUCGGUGUCGGAUUCGCCAAAAGUAUCGUAUUUUUGGAGAAUGCGACAUGAACGUGGAUCAAAAGUGAAGAUUUCUGUCCUUCGGGAUUGGCUCACUAGUUUGGAGAGUGAUAGCCCACCACAACUGUCCGGGAUCGAAUCCCCCCUCAAUGCCUUUGAGCCAUGAGUCUGUCACACAGGACUUGCCUAGUGCAGUUUACAUCCCGUAUGAUUUGCAGGUUAUUGCAUCGGGGGUUUACCCAGUACGCACACAAUGCUCACCACAGAGUGCUCACUCGAAGGGUAGAGGUUGUGGCAAAGGGUGUAGCGGCUGCGGAUUUUCCUAGAAAGUUUCCAAAAAAAAUGUAAAGAUUCCGUACAACUUGGAUUAUAAAUCUAAUUCUAAAGAUCUUAAUUAUGAUAUAUCUCACCUUAUUCCGCAUACCAAAGCGAAUUCAUUAUUAAUCAUUUUUUCAAUUUAAUUCUCACAAUAUUUGGAUCACCACUAGACCACUUCCAUUUUGUACCUCAAAAAGUACCAAAUCCCCUCCUUAUUUUUCUCUGUUUUUUCUUGGUAGUCUUUUUCUUCUUACCAUUCUUGUAAUAAUAAUAGUAAUAUUUUCAUGGUAUUUCUUUUUUUUAGAAUCCUUUUGACCAUUUUCUCACAACCCAAACAUAAUAUUUAUUUUUUUUAAAUUAUAUUUUUUAACAAUGAUACAAAAAAGUUCUUGAUUUUUUUUUAUAAAGGGUGUUUCUUUUUAGCCUUUGUUUCAAUGUUGUUGUUGUUUUUCCUUUUUGGGUUUUUCUAGUUUGUGUUCUUUUUCUUGUUAGGACAAAAACUAGUAAAAGCCCUUUAUGUCCUUGUCUGAAAGUAGAAGGAACAUGGGGUUUGAUGAUAAUAAGGUAGAUAUGUCUGAGGGCAAUAAGGGAAUUGUUGUUGAUUCUGACAUUGAGAUUGAGAAUGGUAAUGGUGGUAAUGAGAAUAGGGUGAAUAGGCAAAUGAGUGAAAGUUCAAUGUAUACAACUGAUCAAGAAGAGGAUGAUGAUGAAGCUAAUAACAAGAUUGAGUUAGGUCCUCAAUGUACACUCAAAGAACAAUUUGAAAAGGAUAAGGUGUGUUGUGUUGUGUUGUGUUUUGUUAUUCUCUUUUUAAUGUUUUGAGUUUGAGUCUUCCUGGAUACAAAGUCGUCUUUGUUAGGGAGCGCUUUAGUUCCUCAUGUGAUUUGUUCGCGCGAAUUUAGAUUUAAUCGGGCCUCAAUGUGGAUACUGAACAUAGGAUGAGAAAAAUGUGCCCCCUAUUUGUUUUCUUGAAAGAUAAAAAAGAUUGCAUCUUUAGAGUGUCUUAGCUAGGGAGCGGUUUAGCCACGUGAGGGACUUCAUGGGGCAAUUUAGAUUUAGUCGGGCCUCAAUGCAGGUAUCACGUGAGAAAGAUUUCCCCUUUUGUUUUCUUGAAAGAUAAAAAAGAUUGCAUCUUUACAAUCAUAUUAGUUAAGGAGCGCUUUAGCUCCUCGUGUGCGCGAAUUUUGAUUUAAUUGGGCUUCGAUGUGGAUUUGGAUGAGAAAGAUUUCUCCUUUUUGUUCUCUUGAAAGAUAAAAAAAAGGUUGUAUCUUUAUAGUCGUCUUUGUUAGGGAGCGCUUUAGCCCCUUGUGGGACUUUCCAGCGCGAAUUUUGAUUUGUUCGAGGCCAAUGCGAGUACCGGACACCGGAUGAGAAAGAUUGUGUCUUUCUACCUUCUUAAUGUUUCUCUUGAAUGUGCUGUUUGUUUUGAUUCUUCCCUUUUUAAAAUUCUUGAAAUGAACAUAAAAAUGUUGUCUUUAUUCCUUUUUUAAUGUUUGUUUUUGUGCUUUUUUUUUUUUAAAUUUGAUUGAAUGUUUGCUUUUAGGAUGAUGAGAGUUUGAGAAGGUGGAAGGAGCAGCUCCUUGGAAGUGUGGAUAUCAAUGCUGUUGGAGGUAAUGACUUUUUUUUUUUUUUUUUUGUUUUAAAAUUUGCCGGGGGGCUAUCGGAAAAAACCAUGGGAAUACACUGGGUAUGUUGUUGUUCUUCAACAUUUGCAUUUGCAACUUUUUUGAAUUUGCGAUUUUGAUAUUUGAGGAAAGAGUUAAAAAAGGGCGGCCUGAUGGACCGCGCCGCGAAGGGUGUGUUGUAGGUAUCCUACCUGCUUGAUUCCACAGCUCGAACCCCUAUAGGAGACAACUUUACCGUUGCUCCAAUAUUUUCCUUCUUUUUGAGGAAAGAGUAAUAUACAUAUGCUCUCUCCGCACCAAAAUACGUAUCACUUUUCACUUCUCGAGAUUCAAACUACGCGAGCUGUGACCAAUAUUUUAAGAUGUAUUUUUCGUCAUGUUGAUAUGAGAAGAAUAACAACAUAUCCUAGUAGUUUAAGUAUACCAAAGAUUUUAAAUAGAAAUGUCUCGUCCUCACGAAAUGUCUGCUAGUUCUUAGAAGUUUCCAAAUGCGUCGUAAAAAAAGGGACCAGGAAAUUGUCUUGGAUCCUAAUUCACUGAAAUAUUUCUGUCGGAUUGAUCGGUUGGUUCUUGCAUAGGGUGGGAUCUUAAAUAGAAAUUGCUUCGGAUUGAUGGACCUCUACUGAUAGAUUCUGUUUUGCAUCAUCUGAGCUUUUCAAUCGAACUGAUUAGUUCGUAAACAGUUUGGCCGAAUCUUCCAGAAGAACAUUUUUCUUGCGUUCAAUUGUUUUCAUCUCGAGUAACUUCAGUGAUAAAGAAUAGAAAACUACUAAUAGACCACCUGAUAUGGACUGAUUAUUCAUGUGUAAUGUUGAUACUAUUCUCAAGGUCAUUGUACCGAAGUCCAGUUAUUUGUGUCAUAAGUCAUUUUACUUCAGUUAAGGUGAGCGAAUAGCUUCCUACGUUGCUCUCGUUUUCAAGAUAUGCUAACGCAAGGAACUCCAAAACUUCUUUAUUCAACUUCCCUCGAACCUUGAUUAGUAUAUUCAAUUUUUUGUGACCCAAUAUGGAGAAUCUUGAUGACCUUUCAAAUACAUGUGAAAAGCAUUUCUGUUUCUGCAAUGAAAACCAAUCGUUUGAUAUGAAUCUUGAAACUUGUCGUGAUUGAUCAAUGUAGAAUCCCUGGAUCCAGAAGUGAAGAUCUUGAGCCUUGCAAUUAAGUCGCCCGGUAGAUCUGAUAUCGUUCUCCCUAUCCCGGACGAUGGAAAUCCCAAGAGCCCAUGGUUUGUUCUGAAAGAAGGGAGCAAAUACAGCCUAAAAUUUACGUUCCAGGUCAACAAUAACAUAGUGACAGGUCUUAAAUACACAAACACAGUUUGGAAAACCGGUAUCAAAGGUACUAUCCGGCCCUUCAUAUUUCCAGUUCUAUAUGAAUAUGACAUUUUCUUUUAGGCCUAAUUAGUUUAUUCUUUACGCUUUUAAUUAACAUUUUCCCUUUCUGCGAACAUUAUUUCAGUGGACAGCACGAAACAGAUGAUUGGGGCGUUUAGUCCUCAGCUAGAGCCUUAUACACACGAAAUGCCAGAAGAGACCACCCCUUCUGGCAUUUUUGCAAGAGGAUCUUACUCGGCAAGGACAAAGGUGAUUUUUCUUUCUCUUUAAUGCCCUUGACAUAUUCUUCAUCUACCAUUCAACAAAAGUACUCAAAUCCGACAAUGCCAAUAACUGAAUUGUUAUCGUAUUUUCUUCAAUCAGAUAGACUGAAAGUGAGGUUGCGGUUCUUGCAUAUGGUCCCUUUAUCGUUUACAUGAGACCGCUUUUUGUUUCCUUUCAUUCUUCCAUCUUUUGUUUUCUACUAGUUUUAAGUUCUAUUAAAGAACCGGUACAUAGAAAUAGUACUAAAUGAAGGGGAGCCUUGUGCGACCUAUAUGUCAUGGGUUUGAGAGGUAGAACCAGCUAAUGAUGUUUGUGUCACAAUAGUCAACCAACUGAGCUACUAACAUUUUGCCAACGCGGGAUGCUUUCUACACCGGGCAACCCUUUUUUUUGGUCCUAGUAGACAACACGCAGCUAAAGAUUGCGCGUAAGCAUACCAAAUUAAGUCAUUUUUCUUGUUGUUUGCUUCCUCUGCAGUUUCUUGAUGACGAUAACAAGUGCUAUUUGGAGAUCAACUACACAUUCGAAAUCAAGAAAGAGUGGCAGGAAAAAUGAACAACAAACGGCGCCAUGACAUGAAUCGUUGCCCCCAUACUAAUUUUUCUUUUCGUUCUUCGUAAUUAUCUCAAUCUUUUUCCUGCUAGUUUUUUUCAGAAGAGAAAAAGGAAGGGGGAAAAGAGAGAAAAGUGAAAACAACUUGCUGCAAUUUACUAUAAGAUCAAAAGCUCUCUCUUUUUCGCCUUUCUCUCUAUCAAGUUUCAUGUGCAUAAAUGUGCUUUUUGAAUGUUGUAAAACUGUGAA
RNAcentral lists this long non-coding RNA (13290 nucleotides) under Capsicum annuum. RNAcentral's name for it is "long non-coding RNA (CANN_LNC020032)". The record is from RNAcentral. Lineage: Eukaryota; Viridiplantae; Streptophyta; Magnoliopsida; Solanales; Solanaceae.